RNAcentral lists this ribosomal RNA (571 nucleotides) under uncultured bacterium. RNAcentral's name for it is "bacterial SSU rRNA". It matches the Rfam family "Bacterial small subunit ribosomal RNA", at positions 338 to 916 of the family's 1533-position model. The record is from RNAcentral.
CCUACGGUAGGUAUCAGUGGUGAAUAUUGGACAAUGCUUGAAACCCUGAUCCAUCAAUGCCUCGUGACUGAUGAAAGCCUUAAGGUUGGUCAAGAUCUCUUUACCUGCGAUGAUUAUGACGUGAACUAGCGAAUAAUCUCCUGCUAACUUACCGCCACCAUUCCCUGCUAAUACUGAAAGGAGCUAGCGUAUGUUCCUAAUUACUGGUAUGUAAAGGGCACGAAGAGCUCUACUGUAUUUGACAUGUGCAAAGACCUGUUCCUUAACCUGUCGAAGUGCAUUUCAGACUGCAAUGCUCAAGUGCACAUACAGGAAAUUAGAAUGACGAUUGUACAGGUGAAAUUCAUAAAUAUGCAUUGGAACUUCAAUGGCAAAAGAUACUUUCUGGCUCUGACCUGACCCUAUUACCCCAAAUCCUGGGGAGCAAACAGGAUUAGAUACCCCGCCAGGCCACUCCGAAUACCAUCAUUGCUACACUUCAUCAACUACAGUUUUCAGUGUACCACCUAAAACGUUAACCAUCUCGCCUGGGGAGGACUGGCUCAAGAUCAAAACUCUUAUGAAUUGAUCG